UUUGUUUUUUGAAACGCACACACACACACUCCUGCUGCUCCGUCACACGCACACUCAUGCACGCACCCUGAUUUUCAAUGUCUUUUUCUUCGCGACAGAGUUGGCUGAAGAUGUGAAAUACCGUUUCACAUAGUUACGGACCGGGUUGAUGGCUGGAAAGGACAUUUUCCCUUCGUUAAAGGAUAGAUGGUCCGGUUAGCCACGACCAUUAUCCAUUUCAAAUUCAUCAACUCAAAGACGCUUGUCCGCUCCAUCAAAACUCCGUAAGUUUUCCCUCCAUGUGUAGAUCAACCGUUCCUGCCUGUAAAUCCUGGGUAUGCCCACAUCAUUAAUGAAUAAGAUGUGUAGAAAACUGUUUAGCCAUAGUUAAAGGCCUUUCAUAAAGAGUCUGUCAUGAUUGCCUGUGCCACACUUAUUGCUUGUUACCUAAUAAUACUGUUGUACAUUUAAUAUCCACUAGCAGAUUUCGUCGCAUUUGCACAAAUUCGGUCAUGUUACUGUGGUCUUUUUAAAUGUCAGUAAAUAUGUGUGUAAAGUGUAUAUGUUUGUUUCACUGUAGAUUUGUUUAAGCCCUCCUAGAAACACCUAAUUAAAGGCCUUUUCAUAAAGAGGCUGUCAUGAUUGCCUGUGCCACAUGUUUAACACGUAUUGCUUAUUACAGAAUACUACUGUUGUACAUUUAAUAUCCCCUAGCAGAUUUCGUUGCAUUUGCACAAAUUCUGUCAUGUUACUGUGGUAUUUUUAAAAGUCAAUAAAUAUGUGUGUAAAGUGUACAUGUUUGUUUCACUGUAGAUUUGUUUAAGCCCUCCUAGAAACACCUCAUUUCAUCCCACAGCCUUAAUUAAUAAGCUGUGCAGAAGCUGUUUAGCCAUAAGUAAAGGCCUUUCAUAAAGUGGCUGUCAUGAUAAACCUGAAAUUACCUUUAGGAUCUUUUCUUUGGGGUUCUAAUCUCCCCAGGUGUACAUGCACUGAAAAUCCUUAGGCUGGAGCCAUCUUGAAGCUCUGUGCCUGUACAUAUAAAGAGAACUAAAUAGGAAACUAGGCUGAGAAACAUUAUUUAGAUGGCUGUUUAAUUGUUGUUUAAAGCCUGAAAUGGACACAAUGCCAAGGGACCUUGUUUCUAACACACACACACACAUACAGACACACAUUCCUGCUCCAUAGAUAACAAACAUAAGGGCAAUAAAACUGGGGGGGUCAUACCCGGUCCAAAAGUUCAAACACAACAACCACAGUUCAACCAGGCCCCUAGACAUCCAUCAACUGGACUACUUCAAAGGAUGACAUAGAGAUCUGAAAUAACACAAAAUAACACGUGACCACGGGAACAGGGGGGACGGGGAGGGGGCACAUAUUCGGACACGCAAAGGUCAAAAUGACGUAAGGUCAUCAAUCAAUCAUUUUGACGCGUGCCGUCUACUU
This is a non-coding RNA of Oncorhynchus mykiss (rainbow trout), 1422 nucleotides long. NCBI's taxonomy places the organism in Eukaryota, Metazoa, Chordata, Actinopteri, Salmoniformes, Salmonidae. The record is from RefSeq and is a predicted model, not a curated record.